UACUCCUACGGGAGGCAGCAGUGGGGAAUUUUGGACAAUGGGCGCAAGCCUGAUCCAGCCAUGCCGCGUGCAGGAUGAAGGCCUUCGGGUUGUAAACUGCUUUUGUACGGAACGAAAAGACUCCUUCUAAUAAAGGGGGUUCAUGACGGUACCGUAAGAAUAAGCACCGGCUAACUACGUGCCAGCAGCCGCGGUAAUACGUAGGGUGCAAGCGUUAAUCGGAAUUACUGGGCGUAAAGCGUGCGCAGGCGGUUAUAUAAGACAGAUGUGAAAUCCCCGGGCUCAACCUGGGAACUGCAUUUGUGACUGUAUAGCUGGAGUACGGCAGAGGGGGAUGGAAUUCCGCGUGUAGCAGUGAAAUGCGUAGAUAUGCGGAGGAACACCGAUGGCGAAGGCAAUCCCCUGGGCCUGUACUG
Molecule: ribosomal RNA, 416 nt
Filed under: uncultured bacterium
Lineage: Bacteria
Description: bacterial SSU rRNA
Rfam family: Bacterial small subunit ribosomal RNA
Source: RNAcentral